GCAGAUCCAUGAUCUGCGCUCACGCCGCUACCAGACUUGUCAAGCUUCAUCGAUGGUUCCUUUUGCAUCUAUCAACCCUUAAGCUUUGAUGGAUCACCAUUUGGAACGUUAGGCGGAAAUUUCAAUAGUUUCAUUAACUUGAUGCAAUUUCCAGUUAGCAGAAACUCCACCUCUUUUAGCCUAAUAUCAUGUCUAAUCCUAAACUAAGCGAAUUAUGACGGCAAAGAUAUUACUUCCAC
Molecule: long non-coding RNA, 239 nt
Filed under: Brassica rapa (field mustard)
Lineage: Eukaryota; Viridiplantae; Streptophyta; Magnoliopsida; Brassicales; Brassicaceae
Description: long non-coding RNA (BRAP_LNC000522)
Source: RNAcentral